Molecule: ribosomal RNA, 1294 nt
Filed under: Synechococcus sp. WH 7803
Lineage: Bacteria; Bacillati; Cyanobacteriota; Cyanophyceae; Synechococcales; Synechococcaceae
Description: bacterial SSU rRNA
Rfam family: Bacterial small subunit ribosomal RNA
Source: RNAcentral
UCUGGAACCCAAUUCUGGCGGCGUGCUUAACACAUGCAAGUCGAACGAACCUUCGGGUUAGUGGCGGACGGGUGAGUAACGCGUGGGAAUCUGCCCUCAGGAGGGGGAUAACGGCUGGAAACGGCCGCUAAUACCCCAUAUGCCGAGAGGUGAAAUGAAUUUCGCCUGAGGAUGAGCCCGCGUCUGAUUAGCUAGUUGGUGAGGUAAGAGCUCACCAAGGCAUCGAUCAGUAGCUGGUCUGAGAGGAUGAUCAGCCACACUGGGACUGAGACACGGCCCAGACUCCUACGGGAGGCAGCAGUGGGGAAUUUUCCGCAAUGGGCGAAAGCCUGACGGAGCAACGCCGCGUGAGGGAUGAAGGCCUCUGGGCUGUAAACCUCUUUUCUCAAGGAAGAAGGAUCUGACGGUACUUGAGGAAUAAGCCACGGCUAAUUCCGUGCCAGCAGCCGCGGUAAUACGGGAGUGGCAAGCGUUAUCCGGAAUUAUUGGGCGUAAAGCGUCCGCAGGCGGCCCUUCAAGUCUGCUGUUAAAAAGUGGAGCUUAACUCCAUCAUGGCAGUGGAAACUGUUGGGCUUGAGUGUGGUAGGGGCAGAGGGAAUUCCCGGUGUAGCGGUGAAAUGCGUAGAUAUCGGGAAGAACACCAGUGGCGAAGGCGCUCUGCUGGGCCAUAACUGACGCUCAUGGACGAAAGCCAGGGGAGCGAAAGGGAUUAGAUACCCCUGUAGUCCUGGCCGUAAACGAUGAACACUAGGUGUCGGGGGAAUCGACCCCCUCGGUGUCGUAGCCAACGCGUUAAGUGUUCCGCCUGGGGAGUACGCACGCAAGUGUGAAACUCAAAGGAAUUGACGGGGGCCCGCACAAGCGGUGGAGUAUGUGGUUUAAUUCGAUGCAACGCGAAGAACCUUACCAGGGUUUGACAUCCUGCGAACCUCUUGGAAACGAGAGGGUGCCUUCGGGAACGCAGUGACAGGUGGUGCAUGGCUGUCGUCAGCUCGUGUCGUGAGAUGUUGGGUUAAGUCCCGCAACGAGCGCAACCCACGUCUUUAGUUGCCAGCAUUUAGUUGGGCACUCUAGAGAGACCGCCGGUGAUAAACCGGAGGAAGGUGUGGAUGACGUCAAGUCAUCAUGCCCCUUACAUCCUGGGCUACACACGUACUACAAUGCUACGGACAAAGAGCAGCAAGUUCGCGAGGACAAGCAAAUCUCAUAAACCGUGGCUCAGUUCAGAUCGUAGGCUGCAACUCGCCUACGUGAAGGAGGAAUCGCUAGUAAUCGCAGGUCAGCAUACUGCGGU